This 86-nucleotide transfer RNA is filed under the name Candidatus Moranbacteria bacterium RIFCSPHIGHO2_01_FULL_54_31. Its description in RNAcentral is "tRNA-Leu". It matches the Rfam family "tRNA". From Rfam's summary of the family: Transfer RNA (tRNA) molecules are approximately 80 nucleotides in length. The record is from RNAcentral. RNAcentral also lists the same sequence under 1 other name. Lineage: Bacteria; Candidatus Moraniibacteriota.
GCCGUGGUGGCGGAAUGGUAUACGCAGAGGACUUAAAAUCCUCGGGUUGCAAAACCAUGCGAGUUCGAGUCUCGCCCGCGGCACAA